Molecule: ribosomal RNA, 253 nt
Filed under: uncultured bacterium
Lineage: Bacteria
Description: partial 16S ribosomal RNA
Rfam family: Bacterial small subunit ribosomal RNA
Source: RNAcentral
UACAGAGGGUGCAAGCGUUAAUCGGAAUUACUGGGCGUAAAGCGUGCGUAGACGGUUAUGUAAGUCGGGUGUGAAAGCCCCGGGCUCAACCUGGGAAUGCCAUUCGAGACUGCAUAGCUAGGGUGCGGAAGAGGGAAGCGGAAUUUCAGGUGUAGCGGUGAAAUGCGUAGAUAUCUGAAGGAACACCUGUGGCGAAAGCGGCGCACUGGACCAUAACUGACGCUGAGGCGCGAAAGCUAGGGGAGCAAACAGG